UAUAAUCUCAAGUCUUCCAAAGUCAUAAUAUAGAAAGUCAAAUGGGUUUUGGAAUGACAUGAGAGUUAAUUAUUUCAGAAUUGUAAUUUUUGGUGAACUAUUUAAGGACAACAUUUAUUACCUAAUACUUUCGUCCGUACCACCCAGAACCCUUGGAACCCUCCAUGCCCACAUCAGAUGUCCUUCUCUCUCUCCCUCUGUCUCUUGUAACUUUGAGCUCAUUGGUUGUCAUGAUAAGGCCAAGUGUAUUUUUAGCCCACUAUCCUUUCAUAGGGGUGGACACAGGGAGUUAGAAAAUAGAUAUAUACAGACCCUUACAACAGAAAACAAAACUUGGAUGAAUAUCCACUACAAAUCUUUGACAGUAACAGAUAGGCCAGAGGUAUGAGUUACACUAUAGCAAAAGAUGUUAGUUGCUGUAUUUAAAGUGAUGUAAGGAGCGGGAUGACGGAAAUUGUUGUUGAGAAGUUUUCUUUCCAUCAACCUCAAACUGAUCAACAACCAAUUACAACAGAUAAUAGCAACCAAGGCAAACAACCAGAAGAAUCUGCAAUUGUCACAGUGACCACAGACUCAAACAAUGGCACAAAGAAACAAAACUUUGACUUCAAAGUUAAAAACAGUGUGGUGAUAUUUGAGAUUUAAAAUGCAUCUGGAAGCCAUGAGGUGCAGACAAGCGGGAGCGCUGAGAAGAUCAGUCCAGCCAAGAGUGACCAUGGAGGUUCUCAGUUAGUGAAGCAAAAUCAUCCAACCCUUAACCAUUGUACCAUUACAAGACAAUGUGGUUUCAUAUAAGGUAUUGUUGGAGAGUUAUGACACGAAAUUAUGUGAGGAGCAACGGCCGAGCACAAAGCGGCAACUGUCUGUAAGUGUAAGGAAGAGGAGCACUGGGAUAAAGAGCCAAGAGGAGAUUGUGAAACCCCUCUCACUUGCCAGUCUUGGCACACAGCCUGGGAGACGUUAUCUACCUGGAGUCCACACCUCUCAGAGGAAACCCAGAAAACUCCUGUUUUCCAGCACUGAGAUUUUCAACAAAGUAGACACAUAAUCUAUAAAGAAAGGAAAAGAGGGAUACCUUGGUCUUUCUCAGAAGAUUUGCUGUCCUGAUGAGGUCAUCAAGAAGGGAAAGGAUGGAGUUGUGGAGUUGUCCACGCAUUGAGUGUGUGGAAGUGAGUGGGUACAGCAAAGGUGUUGGAUAUAGGGUUGCAGUAGUAUACUGGUUUCACGGUAUACCACGGUAUGAAAAUUGACGGUUUUCAUACCACAUACAUUUGCUUAUCUAGGGUAUUGAGAAAAAAACAAAAUGCAACCGGACGGAGAAUCUCACCUGCACCUGCGCAUCUCCUUUCCUCCUCGACUAACUGUCAGACUCGUCAACUUGUGCCACACAAGUGUUGACUGGGCUCAGUUUAUCUAAUAAGCGUUUGGAUCAUGAGUGGAAUGCCAUCUUUGUUGGGGGUCAGUGGUGGCUUCUUGAUGUGUGCUGGGGGGCUGGCACAGUCAAUAUGAAACCCAAACAUUUAUGAAGAGGUCAGGCUUCUGAGAGUGUCAGUUACACACACUGUAUCAUAUAUACAUAUACAGUAUACAUAGACAAAUAUACCAUGAGUAAUAUUUACAUACAUUUGUGUAAUAAAUACUAUUGCUUGUAAUAGUCAGGUUUGAGAUUUCACACUUGUGUAAACCCACAGUUAACUUUCUUUUUUACAUACAGUAUUAACAAUGAUUAAUUGGACAGAUACCACAUGCUAACUGUUUAAAUAACUGCUUGUCAAUCUGUGGAAAUGUUGCCAUGUAAAUCCAUUUCAGCUGUCUUCAGUCUUUUGAAACAUAAAAAAAUAAAAAAUAAAAUAAUAAUAAUAAUAAUAUCAAAUAUUUCUGUCAGACGCUGAAACUAAACACAGUGUGUAAACGUUUCAUCAACUGUACAAAGCUCAUGAAUAUUUAACAAGGCAAACACUGUUCAGCUUAUGAUUGAUUGUAUGUUGCUAAAUCACUCACUGUAGCAUUAUAGCAUUGUUUCACACUGUAUUCCUUUGGCACUGCAAUUCAGGGUUAGCACUUUAAAUGCAGAGUAAAAACUGUAAGAAGUUGCUUAACCCAGGGAUACAUGAGGCCUUAACCCAGAGUUAAACAAAUAAUAGCCAAACAGUAUAGUGAAUUACACACUUAAGACAAAAAUAUGGAAUAUUAAUGCCUGUCUGUUUCAGGUAUGAUGACUUUUAUUUCCUGACUGAACCUAGUGAGUUCAUAAACUCACAUUUCAAUGAUGAUCAGACCUGACAGCUACUAACCACGCCUAUCUCCAUGGAAGAGUUUGAAACGAGACCCUUGAAGACCUCAGCAUACAAAACAACCACAGACGACAUGGAAUCACUUUUGUCCAUGAGCUCUUCUAGACCGUUGACCUUUUCACACGAGAUGAGGCAGCAGGAUCCCCAGACAGGGGCUCCAAAGCAGGAGGAGGUCGACAGCCCCUGUGGUCUCCUUUCAGUGACUUGUCAAGGGAUGAAGCUGCGAUUACUGCCCUAAGAACCUGGAGCGUAUGAGGUGAACCUAUUUGCCCGGCAAGAGGGUGAACCUGGUGCUCUGCGAUGGGUUUGCUCUUUGGAGCUGGAGUGUCCGAGCAUCCAGCAGAAGCAGUCACUGCCUAAUAACACCUGCCUGAGCUUGGGCUUAGCAGCCGGGUCACUGGCAAUAGGCGUCAAGCGCUGCAGUGUAGGAGGAGAAAAAACUUUUGAAGUGGGUGAAGGUUGGGAGUGCAAGGUGAUCCUACACAUAUCACGACCUCUGACGAUGGUGUGUGAGCUCAUGCACCAUGAGCUCGACGCUGCUGUGGCCAUGCGCUGCCUUGCAUUGCAAAUAGCAGCAGAUCAGCUGGUGUGCAAUGUUAUGUGCCCAUACAAAGGAUUUUACUGUCUUUCUGUGUUCGUGUGGGACUACGACAGCGGAAGUGGCACUUUUCAAAUGGUUGGGAACUAUCUGCUUCAUUGUCGGAGCCAAGGGUUGAAUCCCAAUGCACUGUAUCCUGCUGACCUGGACCUGUGGUGUGGUCCUGGGAUGUGUCCUCAAGAAGCUGGACUCUCCCGCUUCAGCCACACGGGGGCGAUAGUGAAUGCACCACAGGGCCGCUGCAACAUCACCUUCCACUGUGCCUUACCAGACCUGCAAAUACAUGCAACUCUCUGUGCAGAGAGUCCAGGUGCAGAUCAAGACAGGGAGGCCCAUUUACCUCUAUCAUAUGUACUUCUGACAUUUACAGACAUUUAAGUAACUGUGAGUGUGUGCAUGCCUAGAGUCAGAGUCUAUUGGCUUGGACUUUAUGGAAGCAAACCACCUCAACGAGACUAUAUGCUGCUGUGUGACUACAUUAUCAGAAAUGUUUGGAAAUCCAUUCCCUUGUGUGUAUUCAGCAUGGGGAAGAGGGUGUGUUGUUGGAGCCAUGUUCAAUUGUGCUUGCUCCACAAAUGGUGAGUUUUCGAGUCUGGGUACCAGGUGCCCAAAGAGUGUGUGCACGCAACUUAAGCUCACUGCUGUCACCAAAAAAAAAAAAAAAAAAAAAAAACAACAACAAAAACCAAAAAAAAAAACAAUGAUAUGCAUGUUCUCAUGAUCUUUGAUGUCCUUAACCUGGAGAAUGGAGAAUCUGUGAAGAGGACAAAAUAUACAUUCACACUGCAGUUGAAUGUGGCCCAAGUUCUGAUUUUUUUUUUCACUCACUUGUGCAACAUAUCUUUUGGAUGAUAGUGUGAACUGUAAAAAUCAAAUUCAAUCUGACAUGUUUAAUUCUGGGCCACUUUCAUAUGUGGAAAUUAAUCAGAUACAUAUCUCACUUGACUGUGUGAACAUUCAGGUUGUAAUUCAUGCCAGUUUUACAACAAUCUUACUCAACAUUUGUCAUUUGUAUUAUAUAGGUGCAUAACUAUAUUUGUUUAAAAUAUAUAUUAAUGUACAUUCUGUCUCAGAUGUUGUCUAUAGAGCACAACAGUGCCUACCUACCUUUUUAACGGUCUUGGUUUUGGAAUUAUUGUUCCCAUUCAAUUUUUUUUUUUUUUUUUUUCCCAUUAGGAUUUUGUAAAAUCCUUCAUAAAAGAGUUCUAAUCCAUGAACCAAACCAACCAGCUCUAAGGUCUUGAGCUUUGAAUCCAAAAAGUAAAAAAAGAAAAUAAAAAUAAAAAUGGACAAAGGUACAAGACUGUGUAUCGUUCAUGAGAAAAUUAAAUAUAAUUCCAUGAAGCAAAUAAUACAAUCGAAUUAGGAAUGAAAAAUAAAACUAACGAUUUACAGUGGUCGAUUAUACUGUAAGUAUAGAAACAAUACAUUUUAAGUUUACUGCAAAAUAUUCAGAUAUAUACAUAUAUUUAAGUAGUUUGAGAGUGUAGACUGACUUGAUUGUGUCACUCACAGCGCGUCAUAGAAGUGGGUGGCCAUUGCCAGGCCCAGGCUUGUUUGGUGUGUUUUGUUCAACAAAUAACAAAAUAUGAUAUUAUGAUAUUGUGACAUUUGCUAAUGAUGUGAUGAUGAACAUGCCAGGGUGGGUGUUUGAUGUAUGAGGGACAGUUUGCAUUUUUUUUUAGGAUAAAAUCAUAUUUAAAGGUGCACUCAGUCAUUUUUUUCCCCAUUAAAAAAGUUUUACUUCUAAAGAAAUGAAUUUAAAACAUAUGUAUAAAAUCAUGACCACUCACAUGAGAUGAGGACUCUAGACAUAUCAGUACCCUUAUAAAAGCUGUUUUAUUUUACAUGGGGCAGGAGUGCCCUCAUGGGGGCUGCCAUUUUAGAAUCACAUGACCAGCUGAAUACUACUUGCUUAAUCUCAGUCACCGGCUUGUUAUUGGACACUUUCACUCUUGGAUUAAAUUAAUCAUGGCUGAUUGUGAAUAGUGAAUUUCUACAAUGGCAUUUGUAACUGAAAACUAUUGAUUUUGAAUGAUGCUGCAUCCACACCACUAGGUGUCACUGUAAGUCUAAGAUGACAUGAGCAAAAAGUUGCUGAGUGCACCUUUAAGCAGAAAAUUUGAAUUGGGCACUUGCGGUGUCAGGUAUCUUAAAAGAAUGUCUAAAUUAGAGCUAAAGCAUUAUAUCUAAGAAAACAAUGGCAUGGUGUGAUAGUAUCUACUCAUGUUUUUGAAAUAUGCAGUUUGUGAAUGCGAAAUUUGUGUAGUGACACAGACAGCCUAUGUCCUCGCAUGCUCUUAGACACUGAAAGUGUUAGGGACAUUAAAGUUAUUGUCCAUUUUAUACACCAGUCUCCUGGAGUAAUCAAAAGGACAGUGAGGAGCAAACUGCUGUCACUUUCAAAUACAAAAACAAAUUAUACUGUUGUAGCCUAGAGAGAUGGUUUGAUAUGCAUACCAGCACUGCUGUCAUUUCAAACACAGACUGGCUGGUACUGCAUACAACCUGUGUUGAAAUCUCCACUAUGGGGAGCCAUCGGGGACAAGCACGCCUGAGUAAUGUUUACAUGAUGCAGUCAUAACAACCAGUGCAUCAGAAACGGAACCUUGAACUUGUCCCACUGACCAGAAAAACAAUGGCUGCUAUGUGUGCAAAGGGUGGGUAGCAUCUCCAGGGAGAGAUGAAGUGAUCUUAAUGUAAGUUGAGAGAAAUGUGGGUAUUGUAUAAGUAUCUGCAAGAGGGUGAGUGUAGUGUUUUGGACCCAUGGUGGAGCCUAGUAUAUGUUGUAUUAAUGGCCGAGGAUGUAUUGGCAUGCAUGUGUACAAUAGAUGCCUGCGGUGAAUUUACAGUCACAGUAGCCAAUAUGAGAAUUCUGGAUGUGAAUUUUGAGGUAGGCUGGGCAUGGACACAAAGUGAAGGCGAGGAAAAGGAUGUGAAUGGUAAGCCUGAAUUUGACACACAAAACAGUGCUCAAUUACAGUAUAACAGAAACACAUACUAAGUUAUAAAUAGCUUCUGUUGUUGCAGCAAGGCCCAUGAGAUUAGUGUUAAAGCUGGGCUAGGCAUCCUAAAAGAUGUUAUCACCAUUUGAGAAAACCACUGCUGAGAUACAUUUGCACACAAAUACACUUCAUUACCAGUUUUUUGUCUUAAGAACUGUGCUGACAGCUUAUUUCACCAAACAGACCUUAUUCAGAUUUGUGCUUUGAUUUUUGACGGGAAUGAAAAUGAAGUUGUGAGGGACAGAAGUACAGACUAUUCAAUGGCAUGCACUGUAUAAAAGUCCAGAUCACAUCUAAAUAAAAAAAAAUUAAAAAUAAUAAAAAAAAUUGUGUGUGUGUAAAAGAUGUUUUUUCAAUGUUUCAUCAGC
Long non-coding RNA from Myxocyprinus asiaticus (Chinese sucker), 6265 nucleotides. RefSeq lists it as uncharacterized. Lineage: Eukaryota; Metazoa; Chordata; Actinopteri; Cypriniformes; Catostomidae. The record is from RefSeq and is a predicted model, not a curated record. The transcript has 5 exons.